This 339-nucleotide ribosomal RNA is filed under the name uncultured Pseudomonadota bacterium. Its description in RNAcentral is "bacterial SSU rRNA". It matches the Rfam family "Bacterial small subunit ribosomal RNA", at positions 29 to 351 of the family's 1533-position model. The record is from RNAcentral. Lineage: Bacteria; Pseudomonadati; Pseudomonadota.
AACGAACGCUGGCGGCGUGCCUAACACAUGCAAGUCGUACGAGAAAAUCCGCUUCGGCGGGUGAGUAGAGUGGCGCACGGGUGAGUAACGCGUGGAUAAUCUGCCUUUAAGCUGGGAAUAACUCACCGAAAGGUGGGCUAAUACCCGAUAAUGCUAUGUUGCUUCGGUAGUAUAGCCAAAGAGAGCCUCUGCAUGCAAGCCCUUACUUAGAGAUGAGUCCGCGUACCAUUAGCUAGUUGGUAGGGUAAUGGCCUACCAAGGCGACGAUGGUUAGCUGGUCUGAGAGGAUGAUCAGCCACACUGGAACUGAGACACGGUCCAGACUCCUACGGGAGGCAG